This is an RNA transcript of Sander lucioperca (pikeperch), 2360 nucleotides long. It is a transcript of the gene named carbonic anhydrase XIV, with no coding region annotated. The record is from RefSeq and is a predicted model, not a curated record. NCBI's taxonomy places the organism in Eukaryota, Metazoa, Chordata, Actinopteri, Perciformes, Percidae. The transcript has 13 exons.
UAUUCUGUCCUUUUACCCUAACACUGAAUUAGUUCUCACUCACUGGUUCCUCUUUGCUUCCUGGAUUUAUCUCCAUCUCUGCCUACUCUUUCUCUCUCUUCUCUUCAUCUCUCUCUUCCUGAGACCUGCUGUGGUGCCCUGUAUGCCAGAGUGGAGCCGGCAUGUAACACCCCCACUCUGGCUGUUAACAGAGCUGUGGCAGGUGGGAUUGCUGGACCCAGUCGGUCUCCCCCCAUCCCUCUCUCUUUCUUUCUCUCUCACUUUCUCCUCAUCUCCUCGUUCGCUUUUAUUCAUUUCUGUGUAUGGGCAAGGAGGGCUAACAUGGACUCUUUGGGUCUUUUUAUCCUUCUAAUGCUUCUGUGUUUCCAGUGGACAACUGCCCCUGCUGCUGAGGAAGUUACCUGGACCUACACUGGCUUGGUGGGUCAGUCCGAGUGGUCGCAGUAUUUCCCCGACUGUGGUGGUACUUCUCAGUCCCCUGUUGAUGUGGUAACCACCCAGACUAAAUAUGACCCUAGUUUGAUCCCUCUGACCCCACUGGGCUACAGCCAGCACGGCAACAAGCCCUUCACUCUGUACAACAACGGACACACAGCGGUCAUUGACCUGCCAGACUGGAUGGGACUGGGGGGGCUGCCCUGGCUCUUUACAGCUGUGCAGAUGCACCUCCACUGGGGCAGCGGCGGCCCGAGUCACGGGGGCAGUGAACACACCAUCAACGGACUGAGUGCAGAUGCAGAGCUACAUGUGGUGCACUACAACUCUGAGCUCUACCCCAACAUGUCCACAGCAAUGACGCAGAGUGACGGCUUGGCUGUUUUAGGAAUUCUCAUUGUGACAGGUGAGGAGACCAACCUGGCAUUUAACAACAUCCUCCACUACCUGAGCCGCAUCAGACAUGCUGAUCAGAAGGUGUCCAUCCCAGCCUUUGACAUCCAGUCACUGUUCCCUAAGGAUCUGGGGCGCUACUAUCGCUACAAUGGCUCCCUAACGACGCCGCCCUGCUACCAGAGUGUGAUCUGGACACUGUUCAAUGAGAGGGUUCAAAUCUCAAAGGCACAGCUGCUAAAGAUGGAGACGAUACUUUACACCAGUAAAGUCGAAGAUCCAGUCAGAAUGCUGCUGCAGGACAACUACCGCGCGACACAGCUGCUCAACCACAGGGUCGUCUUCGCCUCCUUCACUGCAGAAUCAGGAAAGGAGCUCUCUUCUGGUGAAGUCACAGCUAUAGUAAUAGGAGUGAUGUGUGGCUGUGUAGGUCUGGCUGUAAUCAUUCGCUUCAUCGUAAAGACCAUACGAUUUUUUACACUCCUCCACCGUGAAUCAGUCGCGGUAAACAGGUGGUUUACCUGCUCUCAUUACUGACAAGGAAGCACAACUUGCACUGACACUCUACCUCUAGCUGGGACGUCCUACCCAGUAACCGGCCUGCUCCCAUGUCAAGGACGAAGGGGCCAGAGAAAGCGAAAGACAAAAAACAAGACAUGGCUCUGAACUCGACCCCUAAAGCAGAAAAGAAAGAAGAACCCUCACCGUCUCCUCAGACUGAGCCCUAGCUGACGGCACUUCAGGGCUUCAGUCCAGACACAUGCAAAACACCCUCUUCUUCCCUCUUGCCAAUAAUGUUAUCACCGAUCCAACAUGUUUUUCCUCAUCAGUUACAAAAGGCAACAGGAAAAACAUUUUACAUAGUAAACUGGACACAGAACAAAUAACCUGCUGCCCUGAUCACUCACUGUUUACAGUAUUUUUUCUCCCACCCAAAUUCAGAAACCCCAGUCUUGGUAUCAGAUGUGUUGUUUUUUUUUCAGUUUGCAUGUGAAGCACUAGGUGUAAAUACGUCAGUGGCUCUGAGUCGUAUGUUUGCUCUUGCAAUGCCAGGGAUGCAUGAUUGGUUCAUGUAAAUACUUUGUAAAAUAUAUUUAGUUUUUUGUUUCACGUUUGACUGUUAUUUCAUCUUCCUGCUUUGAAACACACGCACACUACAAAGGUAUACCAUGUAAUUGUCUUAUGAAAUAUGUACCUGUGUAUUCAUACUCAAUGUAAUAUCAUUAUUUUCUUUUGCCCCUGGACUUAAACACCGACACACAGACAGUCCUAGCAAAUGGAAAUCUACGAUGAAGGUUUUAAGGGAUUUACAGUGCCAUGUAUAAACUGAUGCUGUCCAAACUUUAUGUCUCUGAAGUCAGUAUAGCGCAUUAUAUUGUAAAUGGAUGAGUUAUAUUUAUGUACAUGUUCUCAUUCUAUUGGAAACACUGUUUUUGGUGCCACAUAUCUUUGUCUGAUUGAUUUUUUUUUUUUUUGCUGUAUAUAACUCGUCAACAUGGGCACCUCAUUAAAAUACUUGAAUGGCAACCUCA